Molecule: unclassified non-coding RNA, 286 nt
Filed under: fungal sp.
Lineage: Eukaryota; Fungi
Description: partial internal transcribed spacer region
Rfam family: Eukaryotic small subunit ribosomal RNA (bases 1-46)
Source: RNAcentral
AAGUCGUAACAAGGUUUCCGUAGGUGAACCUGCGGAAGGAUCAUUAACACGUAUCCACGUACCAACCCCAAGUGUCACGAGCUGCGCGAGCCGGUCAAACUUUAGUUGACCGUAUGCAGCAAAUCAAUUCAUUUUGAUUUGCUGCGCGUGCUCAGUUUUCUCUCUGCUUUUCCAUUGAAUUUUAACCACUUGAACCCAUCAGACUAAAACCAUUGGCGGUCUCCGCUGAAAGCCGAAACAAUAAAAUAACAAGAAACAACUCUUAGCGACGGAUUUCUUGGCUCCC